AGUGGCGCACGGGUGAGUAACGCGUAAGUUAUCUACCCCGGCAUCUGGAAUAACUCACCGAAAGGUGUGCUAAUACCGGAUACGUUGAUUCAUCAAGAAAGGUGGCCUCUGUAUAUGCUACCGUGCCGGGAUGAGCUUGCGUACCAUUAGCUAGUUGGUAGGGUAAUGGCCUACCAAGGCGACGAUGGUUAGCGGGUCUGAGAGGAUGAUCCGCCACACUGGAACUGGAACACGGACCAGACUCCUACGGGAGGCAGCAGUGAGGAAUAUUGCGCAAUGGGGGAAACCCUGACGCAGCGACGCCGCGUGGAUGAUGAAGCCUUCGGGUUGUAAAAUCCUGUCAGGAGGGAAGAAGUGUAUGGUAGCUAAUAUCUGCCAUACUUGACGGUACCUCCAAAGGAAGCACCGGCUAACUCCGUGCCAGCAGCCGCGGUAAUACGGAGGGUGCAAGCGUUGUUCGGAAUUACUGGGCGUAAAGCG
RNAcentral lists this ribosomal RNA (480 nucleotides) under uncultured sulfate-reducing bacterium. RNAcentral describes it as "bacterial SSU rRNA". It matches the Rfam family "Bacterial small subunit ribosomal RNA", at positions 94 to 567 of the family's 1533-position model. The record is from RNAcentral.